Long non-coding RNA from Mytilus californianus (California mussel), 929 nucleotides. RefSeq lists it as uncharacterized. The transcript is spliced from 2 exons. The record is from RefSeq and is a predicted model, not a curated record. NCBI's taxonomy places the organism in Eukaryota, Metazoa, Mollusca, Bivalvia, Mytilida, Mytilidae.
GUACGCAAUAACAUAAAGGUUUCCGGAAAGAGUUGACAACAUUUCACUUGUAUAUAUAUUUGCAGAAACGAAAGCAAAAGUUAACCAAGAUAUUUAUAAACAAGAAAUAGCCGAAGAUAAAAUUGAAGAAUUCAAAUGGAAUCGGAUCAUGUUGAUAAUACAAUAAGAGAAAAACUUGAUCGAAGCGUCUUCCACCCUGACAGAAAGCAUGGUACCACUGAGCCCGGUGUUGGUGAUAUUUUGGACAGAACUCUGCAUUUAUCUACCUUAGAUAAUGAAAAGAUCAAUUCUCAAAAAAGGAUAACAAAUUUCAAAAAUGGAAACCUGCCUACAAUCUCCGAUAGUGACGAAAUUCAAAUCACCGAGGAGAAUGAAAAUAUUGAUAUCAUCUGUUCAGUUAUUAAUAAAAAUCAAAAUAUCAAGACAGAGGAAGAUAUUCAAGAGAAAGAUUUUGAGGGAUCGUUCGACUUUUCUUCAGAUUAUGUUCUUUUAUCAACACGGAACUCCACCGAUUCUCCGAGUAAUGUAAACAAUAAUGGGAAUGCGAUUCUUCGACUACUGAAUAUAACACCUACAACGAUUCUAAUAUGUUUUGGUGCUGGACUAAUAGCAAUGAUUGUUUUCAAAAAGUAAAUCUGAUCAGCAGGAUACGACUUAAAAUGAAAAAAAUAUCGACCACAAUUAUAACAUUUAUAAAAUAUAUUUACUUCAUAUUGAAAUAUCACUUUGCUUGUUUUAUACCGCGAAUCAUUUAUUUCAUAUAACGCAUACAACAUUAAAAGUCCAAAGUGUAAAAAGCAGCCAUGACAUUUGUCAUACUACAGCUUUUCCUUAUCGGAGAGUUUACUUCUGUUUGUAAGCUAUAAGCAAGAAAAAUAGAUGCUCUUACAUGUUUCUUAUGAAUAAUAUAUUUUUUUGUAUAACGUUAA